This 468-nucleotide ribosomal RNA is filed under the name uncultured bacterium. RNAcentral's name for it is "partial 16S ribosomal RNA". It matches the Rfam family "Bacterial small subunit ribosomal RNA", at positions 28 to 507 of the family's 1533-position model. The record is from RNAcentral.
GACGAACGCUGGCGGCGUGCUUAACACAUGCCAGUCGAACGGAAAGGCCCUGCUUUUGUGGGGUGCUCGAGUGGCGAACGGGUGAGUAACACGUGAGUAACCUGCCCUUGACUUUGGGAUAACUUCAGGAAACUGGGGCUAAUACCGGAUAGGAGCUCCUGCUGCAUGGUGGGGGUUGGAAAGUUUCGGCGGUUGGGGAUGGACUCGCGGCUUAUCAGCUUGUUGGUGGGGUAGUGGCUUACCAAGGCUUUGACGGGUAGCCGGCCUGAGAGGGUGACCGGCCACAUUGGGACUGAGAUACGGCCCAGACUCCUCCGGGAGGCAGCAGUGGGGAAUAUUGCACAAUGGGCGGAAGCCUGAUGCAGCAACGCCGCGUGCGGGAUGACGGCCUUCGGGUUGUAAACCGCUUUCGCCUGUGACGAAGCGUGAGUGACGGUAAUGGGUAAAGAAGCACCGGCUAACUACGUG